GCGGAAGUGGUGGAACUGGUAGACGCGCUAGAUUCAGGUUCUAGUGGGUGCAAGCCUGUGGGGGUUCGAGUCCCCCCUUCCGCA
Molecule: transfer RNA, 84 nt
Filed under: Fibrobacter sp.
Lineage: Bacteria; Pseudomonadati; Fibrobacterota; Fibrobacteria; Fibrobacterales; Fibrobacteraceae
Description: tRNA-Leu
Rfam family: tRNA
About the family: Transfer RNA (tRNA) molecules are approximately 80 nucleotides in length. Their secondary structure includes four short double-helical elements and three loops (D, anti-codon, and T loops).
Source: RNAcentral